CGCGUAGGUGGUUUGGUAAGUCGGAUGUGAAAGCCCCGGGCUCAACCUGGGAAUUGCAUCCGAUACUGCCUGACUAGAGUAUGGUAGAGGAUAGCGGAAUUCCGAGUGUAGCGGUGAAAUGCGUAGAUAUCCGGAGGAACAUCAGUGGCGAAGGCGGCUAUCUGGACCAAUACUGACACUGAGGUGCGAAAGCGGUGGGGAGCAAACA
This 208-nucleotide ribosomal RNA is filed under the name uncultured bacterium. RNAcentral's name for it is "partial 16S ribosomal RNA". It matches the Rfam family "Bacterial small subunit ribosomal RNA", at positions 568 to 774 of the family's 1533-position model. The record is from RNAcentral.